This 292-nucleotide ribosomal RNA is filed under the name uncultured bacterium. Its description in RNAcentral is "partial 16S ribosomal RNA". It matches the Rfam family "Bacterial small subunit ribosomal RNA", at positions 505 to 796 of the family's 1533-position model. The record is from RNAcentral.
UUUUCAGCAGCCGCGGUAAUACGGAGGGGGCCAGCGUUGUUCGGAAUCAUUGGGCGUAAAGGGCGCGUAGGCUGCUGUGCAAGUCGGAGGUGAAAGCCCUCGGCUCAACUGAGGAAUUGCCUUUGAUACUGCACGGCUUGAGUCCCGGAGAGGGUAGCGGAAUUCCCAGUGUAGCGGUGAAAUGCGUAGAUAUUGGGAGGAACAUCGGUGGCGAAGGCGGCUACCUGGACGGCGACUGACGCUGAGGCGCGAAAGCGUGGGGAGCAAACAGGAUUAGAUACCCUCGUAGUCC